Molecule: long non-coding RNA, 206 nt
Filed under: Mytilus galloprovincialis (Mediterranean mussel)
Lineage: Eukaryota; Metazoa; Mollusca; Bivalvia; Mytilida; Mytilidae
Source: RNAcentral
CGGGUGCGAGUGCUGCCUUGUAGCGGCAUUAGCCUGCUCUUUUUCGAAAUCUACAGGGGUGUCUUUAACGUGCAAGAGAUAUGGCUCUCUCUUAACACUGGUAAGCCAUUUAUCGUCCCCUUCCGACGGACUAUCAUUGUUUCCUCAAGACCAUACUCGCAAAUGGUGUCAAGGGAGAGCCGAAAAUUAAGUCCCUGGAAUUUUCA